UCAAAUCAAACUUUAUUUAUAUAGCACAUUUCCUUCAACAGGUGAAAAUUAAAUGUGCUUUACAAAAAAGGGACAAACCACUAACUAAUGAAAACAAAAUUAAUGAAAUGUGACAUCAUAUACAAACAAAGAACCAAAUAAACACAACCAGACGCAGAGAGGUAGCCUAUAAUUUUGAGAAGCAAUGGUUAGAAUCAUUCGUAGUGUGGGAAUUUACAAGCGCGCAUAUUAGUGAAUAUUCCUACAAACACACAGAGAAUGUAAUACAGCACACAAUCAACGAAAAAACAUUAGCUUAACUAAAUAAACACUGAUAUUCCAACUAAACUACAUGCAACUCAUCAAUAACAAUGCCUCAAUCUGAACUAGGCUAGGUCUGUUUAGCUAAGUGGUUAUUUUAUUGCUAUUUCCCGAACUUACUUAGAGUAUGCUAAUAUCGAUUGUGCAAGGACAUCAGUUUUAGAAUCCUAGCCUACACGCCAGGCAUGAGCUAUUUAUUACGAAUAUGAUCGAAAAACAUACAGUCUGCCUGAUACUUCUAACACAACCAGACGCAGAGAGCCUAGCCUAUAAUUCUGAGAUGCAAUAGUUCGAAUCGUUCGUAGUGUGGGAAUUUACAAACGCGCACAUUGCUGGGUAUUCCUACAAACACACAGAUACGUUGCAAUACAGUAGACAUAUUUACCAAUAUGAUCAUAAGAAAUAUACUUACGCAUGAAGUUGAUCCUCAGCUGGAUCAGUUCGCUGUUCGAAAAGACACCGCUCUUCAUCAGUGUCGGCUUCCGGACGGACCAUUUUCCAAAAUUAAACGAAAUGUUCACCUCAAAAGAAGUGAAUUAGGCGACACUCUGUGACAUUCUAUCCCGCUUUUGACUUGGCAUUUCUCACAUGGAUCUCGCAUCGCCCCUCCUUUAGUCUCCUUCUAUGGAGACUAAUUAUAAUGUUGUUAACAUGUGAAUGCGAUUUGGGCGGACUUCCUGCUGAGCGAAAUUCACAUAGUAAUGAGUAAAGUUUAGCGAAGCAUACAUGAUCUAAUUAAUCAAAUUUGGAACAUUUAAAACAAUGUAUAUUAUUUGCCAAUGGGCGCAUUGGAAAGUCGCGAUUCUAAGGUUUCUGUCAAUGUUUUUGUUGCGUCUGUAUGAUAACAGCACGUGAAGUUAAUCAUCCAAACAAAAGUUAAUUUAAUCUUGUCGAGCUCCGCCGGCGGAGCUCUCGACCCCAGAGGGUUAAAUAAAGUGGGGGUUUCCUUCUCCCACUCUUAAGUGUGGCGGUUCCGUUUAUCAGUAGUCUAAUUGCAUCACGACAGAGUUAAUCUGAUGGAGUAUGCUGAGAAUAUGUAUUUAGUCCCCCAACGACAGUUGGAUAGAUUAAGGGAUAACAAUGCCCCCUUACCUCUAAGACGGACUGCGGAAAACGACUUGGAUGCCUCUAUAAAGAAUGUUUUGAGUAGAGAUGAUUUGGAGAAAGCCAAACAAUACACAUCAUUAUUGCAUAGAUACUUGUCCUUGGUUAAGCAGGGGGAACUUGAAACUAAUACUUUAACUCUGGCUGUACCGACACCUUCUGUAAAGAAUGAUGCAGAGCAGACUUUACCAGGAACACAAGCCGUCACUGUCGAUGUGGAGGGGGAUAAUGUGUUUAAAGAAGUUUUGAAAAACAUGCCAUUGAGAAACAGAAAGAAUGCUCAAUACAUUUUAGAUUAGAUGUUUCAAUCGAAAGACGUGGCUUCGUGGAAUGAGUCAGGCAAAUUUAUUUUAAGUGUGUUAAAGAUGCAAUCAAUUCAUUUAAAAACACUAGCGCAUCUGGUUACGCAACACCCGCAAGAACCCCAGAAACUCCUAUGUUUAGGUCUCUGAUUUUGGACACAGCCUCCUGGCUCACCUUUUGAAAUGUACUGUUAUGAAUGUGUAGCAUUUUCUGUCUUUUGUUUUUAUUAUUUAUUUAUUUUAUUUUUUUUACUGUGAAAUGUGUUUUUAUUUUCUUUCUAUGAAAUGUGUCUUUAUUCUCACUAUGAAAUGUAUUUUGUAUAUUUAUUAACAUUGUUAAUAAAUGAAACUUUGACUUGUAUAA
Molecule: long non-coding RNA, 2070 nt
Organism: Anguilla rostrata (American eel)
Lineage: Eukaryota; Metazoa; Chordata; Actinopteri; Anguilliformes; Anguillidae
Exons: 2
Source: RefSeq, a predicted model, not a curated record